AGAAUCAACGCUGGCGGCGUGCCUAACACAUGCAAGUCGAACGCGAAAGUGGAGCAAUCCAUUAGUAGAGUGGCAAACGGGUGAGUAACACGUGGGCGACCUACCUCAGAGUGGGGGAUAACCUUCCGAAAGGAGGGCUAAUACCGCAUGACAUCCCGUGUUUGGAUACACGGAGAUCAAAGCCGGGGAUCGCAAGACCUGGCGCUUGGAGGACGGGCCCGCGUCCGAUUAGCUAGUUGGUGAGGUAACGGCUCACCAAGGCUCCGAUCGGUA
Molecule: ribosomal RNA, 273 nt
Filed under: uncultured soil bacterium
Lineage: Bacteria
Description: partial 16S ribosomal RNA
Rfam family: Bacterial small subunit ribosomal RNA
Source: RNAcentral